GUGCUCGCUUCGGCAGCACCUAUACUAAAAUUGGAACGAUACAGAGAAGAUUAGCAUGGCCCCUGUGCAGGGAUGAUGAAAAUAAUGAUUAUAUACCUAAAUAA
Molecule: small nuclear RNA, 104 nt
Organism: Ochotona princeps (American pika)
Lineage: Eukaryota; Metazoa; Chordata; Mammalia; Lagomorpha; Ochotonidae
Source: Ensembl